CUAAUACCGUAUAAUAAUUAAAACCGCAUUGGUUUUAGUUUAAAAGAUGGUCUUGCUAUCACUAAGAGAUGGUCCCGCGGUGUAUUAGUUAGUUGGUGAGGUAAUGGCUCACCAAGACAAUGAUACAUAGCCGAGUUGAGAGACUGACCGGCCACAAUGGGACUGAGACACGGCCCAUACUCCUACGGGAGGCAGCAGUAGGGAAUCUUCCACAAUGGACGAAAGUCUGAUGGAGCAACGCCGCGUGUGUGAUGAAGGGUUUCGGCUCGUAAAACACUGUUGUAAGAGAAGAAUGACAUUGAGAGUAACUGUUCAAUGUGUGACGGUAUCUUACCAGAAAGGAACGGCUAAAUACGUG
Molecule: ribosomal RNA, 358 nt
Filed under: uncultured bacterium
Lineage: Bacteria
Description: bacterial SSU rRNA
Rfam family: Bacterial small subunit ribosomal RNA
Source: RNAcentral